Molecule: Y RNA, 114 nt
Filed under: Prolemur simus (greater bamboo lemur)
Lineage: Eukaryota; Metazoa; Chordata; Mammalia; Primates; Lemuridae
Description: Y RNA (ENSPSMG00000022278.1)
Rfam family: Y RNA
About the family: Y RNAs are components of the Ro ribonucleoprotein particle (Ro RNP), in association with Ro60 and La proteins. The Y RNAs and Ro60 and La proteins are well conserved, but the function of the Ro RNP is not known. In humans the RNA component can be one of four small RNAs -- hY1, hY3, hY4 and hY5.
Source: Rfam by way of RNAcentral
GGCUGGUCCGAAGGUAGUGAGUUAUCUCACUUGAUUGUUCACAGUCAGUUACAGAUUGAACUCCUUGUUCUACUACUUUUCCCCCUCCUCACUACUGCACUUGACUAGUCUUAA